AUACGGAGGGUGCGAGCGUUAAGCGGAAUUACUGGGCGUAAAGCGUACGUAGGCGGUUGGUUAAGUUAGAUGUGAAAGCCCCGGGCUUAACCUGGGAACUGCAUUUAAAACUGGCGAACUAGAGUUGAGUAGAGGGGAGUGGAAUUUCAGGUGUAGCGGUGAAAUGCGUAGAGAUCUGAAGGAACACCAGUGGCGAAGGCGACUCCCUGGACUCAAACUGACGCUGAGGUACGAAAGCGUGGGUAGCAAACAGGAUUAGAAACCCUAGUAGUCC
This 274-nucleotide ribosomal RNA is filed under the name uncultured bacterium. RNAcentral describes it as "partial 16S ribosomal RNA". It matches the Rfam family "Bacterial small subunit ribosomal RNA", at positions 523 to 796 of the family's 1533-position model. The record is from RNAcentral.